GGAGGGGGCUAGCGUUGUUCGGAUUUACUGGGCGUAAAGGGCGCGUAGGCGGUAUGCCAUGUCAGGGGUGAAAGGCCUGGGCUCAACCCAGGAACUGCCUUUGAAACUGGCAAACUAGAGUCCGAUAGAGGAUGGCGGAAUUCCCAGUGUAGAGGUGAAAUUCGUAGAUAUUGGGAAGAACACCAGUGGCGAAGGCGGCCAUCUGGAUCGGCACUGACGCUGAGGCGCGAAAGCGUGGGGAGCAAACAGGGAUUAGAUACCCUGGUAGUCCACGCCGUAAACGAUGUGUGCUAGACGUUGGGGGGCCUUAGGCCCCUGGGUGUCGCAGCUAACGCGUUAAGCACACCGCCUGGGGAGUACGGCCGCAAGGUUA
This 373-nucleotide ribosomal RNA is filed under the name uncultured organism. RNAcentral describes it as "partial 16S ribosomal RNA". It matches the Rfam family "Bacterial small subunit ribosomal RNA", at positions 527 to 896 of the family's 1533-position model. The record is from RNAcentral.